Molecule: ribosomal RNA, 886 nt
Filed under: Hydnobolites sp.
Lineage: Eukaryota; Fungi; Ascomycota; Pezizomycetes; Pezizales; Pezizaceae
Description: partial large subunit ribosomal RNA
Rfam family: Eukaryotic large subunit ribosomal RNA
Source: RNAcentral
GCGAGGCAGAGCACAGGGAUUGCCUUAGUAACGGCGAGUGAAGCGGCAAAAGCUCAGAUUUGAAAGCUAGCAUUUUUGAUGUUCGCAUUGUAAUCUGUAGAGGAGUGUUCAAGCAUGGCUUUGACUCAAGUUCUUUGGAACAGGACGUCAUGGAGGGUGAGAAUCCCGUUCAUGGUCUUUGUCUUAUGUUUAUGUGAACCUCCUUCAAUGAGUCGAGUUGUUUGGGAAUGCAGCUCUAAAUGGGUGGUAUAUUUCAUCUAAAGCUAAAUAUCAGCAGGAGACCGAUAGUGCACAAGUAGAGUGAUCGAAAGAUGAAAAGAACUUUGGAAAGAGAGUCAAAUAGUACGUGAAAUUGUUGAAAGGGAAGCACUUACACCCAGACUUGUUUACAAUUGAUCAGUUAUCAUUUUUUGAUGGUGCACUUAGUUGUAGGCAGGCCAGUAUCAGUUAGAGUGGUGGGGCAAAGGUGUUGAGAAUGUAGCUCCCUUGGGAGUGUUAUAGCUCUUCAUGUCAUAUCAUCUGCUCUAACUGAGGUUCGCACUUUAGUGAGGAUGCUGGCAUAAUGGGUGCAAGUGACCCGUCUUGAAACACGGACCAAGGAGUCUAACAGUUGUGCGAGUGUUUGGGUAGAAAACCCUUAUGCAUAAUGAAAGUAAAUGGAGGUGAGAACCGCAAGGUGCAUCAUCGACCGAUCCUGAUGUCUUCAGAUGGAUUUGAGUAAGAGCAUAGCUGUUGGGACCCGAAAGAUGGUGAACUAUGCCUGAAUAGGGUGAAGCCAGAGGAAACUCUGGUGGAGGCUCGCAGCGGUUCUGACGUGCAAAUCGAUCGUCAAAUUUGGGUAUAGGGGCGAAAGACUAAUCGAACCUCUAGAGUGUCCGCCCCCCCC